Long non-coding RNA from Sander lucioperca (pikeperch), 183 nucleotides. RefSeq lists it as uncharacterized. The transcript has 3 exons. The record is from RefSeq and is a predicted model, not a curated record. Lineage: Eukaryota; Metazoa; Chordata; Actinopteri; Perciformes; Percidae.
AACAGCGUCCUCUCAGAAGAACUUCCCCACGCUGACUGCAGCAGACGUGGAGGACUUGAUCGGGCAAGCGCUGAAGUUUGCCCCACACAGACGGCCAGCUGAGAAGGACUAUAAGCCAAACCAUGGAGCUCUAUUUUUUUUUAAAAUUUUAUUUGUAUUUUUUACAUCCAUCUUGCAGCUUGU